This is a long non-coding RNA of Dicentrarchus labrax (European seabass), 1433 nucleotides long. RefSeq lists it as uncharacterized. The transcript is spliced from 3 exons. NCBI's taxonomy places the organism in Eukaryota, Metazoa, Chordata, Actinopteri, Moronidae. The record is from RefSeq and is a predicted model, not a curated record.
UUUAUGUGAGGGUUUGAACGUGUGUAUGUGUGAAUGUUGCAAGGUGUGGGACACUAAUAUGUACCUUUGCUGAGUGUAAAUGUUUUAGAGGCAUCUUGGGCAGCAGGCUGAAAGCAUCUUUGACAUAAUUACAAGUGUCAAAGCUAAAGAGGAGGUUCCCUAAGGAACGAGGACUGGCAGAGUUGCUGCUAUUCAUUUGGGAAGCAAGAUUAAAGGACUUCUUCUUUUGAGACACACCUCUGGAAUCAAACGUUUGGUGGGCCAGCAUGCACAAUACCAGGACCCUGAAACUGAAGCAGCUAAAUGGAAAGGCACCAGUGUGUAGGAUUAAUGGCUUCUAGCAGUGAAGUUGCAGAUUGCAACCAACUGAAUAUAGCUCACCUUCCAGGCGUGUAAGGGCAACUACCGUGACAACAAAACUCACAAAUAAAACGCAAACGUCUGUUCUGGGUUACCGUAGAAACAUGGCGGUUCAACAUGGUGGCCUCCGUGGAAGAGGACCCGCUCCCUCUGUGGAUACAAAUAGCAUGUUUAUCCAAUCAAUGCAACCAUCAGAACCAGCUCUCCAACAGGCCUUUCCUGUCACCUGAUCAGCGGUCAUGCUUCACAUCCAUCCAGAUUUUCAGCCAGGCUGUUCUUCCACCACCAGUGUCCAGGCUCCAUUGGAAGGAUUUUUUUGUGCGACCACCCCUGUAAAAUGACGAUGCCACAAUGCGGUCUAAUCACCAAAGGCUCCUAACAUGUCUCUCCAACUUUUCCCGGUGUGCAGAUAAAUGAUUGUAAUUACUCUCCUUCUUUCAAGUAGUCUCUCAUAAUUGAAAUAACAUGCAUUGCAUUGUAGCAAUUGCUGAAACGGAGCUAUUAGUAAUGUUAUCAGUUCCACCUGUGCUUUUCCUGUUUUGACUGUCAAUAAGUCGAAUUCCUUUUAGGAAUGAUAAUGAAACCUGACUGCUUGGCUAGCAUGGCCAUCAAGAUUUAAGAAAGCAAGAUUCUGACAGCAAUUUGUGAACUACAUAAUGGACAGAUUUUUGACACAGUAGAGAAGCAGGUGAUGCUCAUCAAACAUUUUAUAUUUUUGGCUUUUAAAAGAAGGAAUAACAAUAUAAUGAAGUUUAGGACCCACUCAUGCAAGCAAACUGCCUGAGCACCAGUUGAUUACUGGCGUGGACAGAUACCAAUGCUGAGUGUUUAGAAAAGCAAAUUAACCGGCUUUGUCAUAUUGAUUGGUAAUACAUAAAUGAUGCAUCUUUACUUGUCUGAGAAGUCCAAGCUAAACUCCUCCCAAACACAGAAUCAAAGUAAUGUAAUACUUAUGAUCUUAUUCAGUCCAGACAAAAUUUUUCAGCACACCCAGCUCUGUCCAAAUGCUGGAAACCAGAGAAAUUGGUAUCUGUGAUGUCAUGGAAAAAAUAAACAGACCUAAAUGUUUGAGA